GGAGGGGCUAUAGGUCAGUGGUGGACCAUCUGCUUUACAUGCAGAAGUUCUCAGGUUCAAUCACUGGCGUCUCCU
This 75-nucleotide transfer RNA is filed under the name Sphaerodactylus townsendi. RNAcentral describes it as "tRNA-Val". It matches the Rfam family "tRNA". Rfam says of the family: Transfer RNA (tRNA) molecules are approximately 80 nucleotides in length. Their secondary structure includes four short double-helical elements and three loops (D, anti-codon, and T loops). Lineage: Eukaryota; Metazoa; Chordata; Lepidosauria; Squamata; Sphaerodactylidae. The record is from RNAcentral.